GAGGGUGUAGCUCAGGGCUAGAGCACAUGUUUAGCAUGCACAAGGUCCUGGGUUCAACCCCCAGUGCCUCCC
Molecule: transfer RNA, 72 nt
Filed under: Camelus bactrianus (Bactrian camel)
Lineage: Eukaryota; Metazoa; Chordata; Mammalia; Artiodactyla; Camelidae
Also listed under: 1 other name
Rfam family: tRNA
About the family: Transfer RNA (tRNA) molecules are approximately 80 nucleotides in length. Their secondary structure includes four short double-helical elements and three loops (D, anti-codon, and T loops).
Source: Rfam by way of RNAcentral